ACUUUAACCACGCUUAAUUUCCAGCAUUUACUGUCUGGAAAGCGGGGGAACCAGUCAAUUGGGGCGAAUCAUUGAGCUAUGCAAUGUAGGGUACCAUCUUACCCGAGUCCGUCAGCUAACCUCGUCAGUAGUGGAUGGGUCUG
RNAcentral lists this small RNA (143 nucleotides) under Paenibacillus sp. RNAcentral describes it as "c-di-AMP sequence". It matches the Rfam family "c-di-AMP riboswitch aptamer (ydaO/yuaA leader)". Rfam says of the family: This family represents a conserved RNA structure found upstream of the ydaO and yuaA genes in Bacillus subtilis and related genes in other bacteria. The ydaO/yuaA element is thought to act as a genetic "off" switch for the ydaO and yuaA genes in its native state. Lineage: Bacteria; Bacillati; Bacillota; Bacilli; Caryophanales; Paenibacillaceae. The record is from RNAcentral.